GCUCUGUUGUUAGGGAAGAACAAGUGCCGUUCAAAUAGGGCGGCACCUUGACGGUACCUAACCAGAAAGCCACGGCUAACUACGUGCCAGCAGCCGCGGUAAUACGUAGGUGGCAAGCGUUGUCCGGAAUUAUUGGGCGUAAAGGGCUCGCAGGCGGUUUCUUAAGUCUGAUGUGAAAGCCCCCGGCUCAACCGGGGAGGGUCAUUGGAAACUGGGGAACUUGAGUGCAGAAGAGGAGAGUGGAAUUCCACGUGUAGCGGUGAAAUGCGUAGAGAUGUGGAGGAACACCAGUGGCGAAGGCGACUCUCUGGUCUGUAACUGACGCUGAGGAGCGAAAGCGUGGGGAGCGAACAGGAUUAGAUACCCUGGUAGUCCACGCCGUAAACGAUGAGUGCUAAGUGUUAGGGGGUUUCCGCCCCUUAGUGCUGCAGCUAACGCAUUAA
RNAcentral lists this ribosomal RNA (443 nucleotides) under Bacillus amyloliquefaciens. RNAcentral describes it as "bacterial SSU rRNA". It matches the Rfam family "Bacterial small subunit ribosomal RNA", at positions 430 to 863 of the family's 1533-position model. Lineage: Bacteria; Bacillati; Bacillota; Bacilli; Caryophanales; Bacillaceae. The record is from RNAcentral.